This 131-nucleotide ribosomal RNA is filed under the name Pelobates cultripes (western spadefoot toad). Its description in RNAcentral is "SSU_rRNA_eukarya". It matches the Rfam family "Eukaryotic small subunit ribosomal RNA", at positions 477 to 585 of the family's 1831-position model. The record is from RNAcentral. Lineage: Eukaryota; Metazoa; Chordata; Amphibia; Anura; Pelobatidae.
AUAACAAUACAGGGCUCUUUCGAUGUCCUGUAAUUGGAAUGAGUACACUUUAAAUCCUUUAACGAGGAUCUAUUGGAGGGCAAGUCUGGUGCAGAGCGACUGACCCGUGCGUGCUGCAGCUGAAGCUCCAC